This is a non-coding RNA of Tetranychus urticae (two-spotted spider mite), 873 nucleotides long. NCBI's taxonomy places the organism in Eukaryota, Metazoa, Arthropoda, Arachnida, Trombidiformes, Tetranychidae. The record is from RefSeq and is a predicted model, not a curated record.
AUUUGGCUUUAUUAAUUGCGUGAUAACUCCAAGUUUUAUUUGAAAUUUUAAUUUAUUGUUCCUUUUAAUUUGUUUUUGCUCAUAUUUUCACUUUUGUGUAAUCUCAAUGAUAUUUAGGAGUACCAGUCGAAAUUGGCUGAUUAUUUCAUUUACUUUGGUGAAUAACAAUUAUCUGCAUGUUUUACCCUGGCAGCAUCUUAAUCAUCCUGAUUUCUUCCUCAAGAUAACAUCCGGGAACAAGAUGAAAUUCAUUAUUUACAGCAACCAACCUUAGAAGGAUCAAGAUGCCACUUUAAACUCUAUUAGCCUGGAGGAACAAUAAACUAAAUUACAAAUCAGGGAAAAUCUGCUUGAAGAUCCAUUGAAAUCAGUAAAAUUCAAUCAAUGAGCUUACAGUGUUUAACUGUAACUGUCAUCUUUCAUACAGUUGGGUUUAAUUUUCAACGGUCAAAGGAUGGUUGAAUAUAUUUGUUUUUGAUUAACUAGUUAAUAGACCAAACUGUUUCUAAAGGAGGCUCACAUGAAGCUAGGAUGGUAAAAAUUAACAAUCUCAAUCCAUUCUUCAGGAAGCGACAUUACAUUGACAUUAAAUUGAUUGCCGUUAUCAACCCUAUUUAAAUUAUCCACUCAUUUGGAUACAGUUAAAUAGUCUGGUUGCGUUUCAUUCAUUGAUUCAAACUGAUUUUGACAUAACCGUGAGAUUAUACCCAAACAAACCAAAUAAUGGGCAAGCUAAGCUGUUUUAACCGUUUCAUCAAUCAUAACCUAGGCUGACUUAACAGAUCUGAUUGAUGAUAUUAUUGUUGUUGUUGUUUCAAUUACUUUCUCAGUGUACUUCAUGCUGAAACUGGGUAAACCUAAUUUUAACCGCAA